CUCUGACACUCAAUGCGAGCCCUGUUGACCAAAACACGAGCAUCUGCUUUCAACCCAGCACAUACUAGUGCUAUAUGAUCAUCCAAUGAAACAAUUUUCCUCACCGUUCUAGCAUCUUGAAGUUUGGCGGUGGAUUUCUUCUCGACACCGAGAACGACGACGUCAGUGCCGCGAACACCUACGGCGGCAUUUCCCUUGCGGACGGCUUCGAGAGCGUACUCCACUUGAAACAAAUGUCCAUCCGGAGAGAACACCGUAAUUGCGCGAUCGUAUCGAGCCAUUUCAGUUUAAGCCCCUCUGAUAGUUUCUUAGCUGCUUUUCUAAUAUCGCGGAGCCCUUUUUUUCGGUGCGAU
This 353-nucleotide unclassified non-coding RNA is filed under the name Hevea brasiliensis (rubber tree). Lineage: Eukaryota; Viridiplantae; Streptophyta; Magnoliopsida; Malpighiales; Euphorbiaceae. The record is from RNAcentral.